AUCCAGCUGACUCGUCCCAAAUAAGACAAAACGCACUUCCUGGAU
RNAcentral lists this non-coding RNA (45 nucleotides) under Schistosoma mansoni. Lineage: Eukaryota; Metazoa; Platyhelminthes; Trematoda; Strigeidida; Schistosomatidae. The record is from RNAcentral.